AACGAACGCUGGCGGCAUGCCUAACACAUGCAAGUCGAACGGGAUCCUAGCUUGCUAGGUGAGAGUGGCGGACGGGUGAGUAACACGUGGGAAUCUGCCUUUUGGUUCGGGAUAACCGCGGGAAACUGCGGCUAAUACCGAAUGCCCUCGAGAGAGGAAAGAUUUAUCGCCAGAAGAGGAGCCCGCGUCCGAUUAGGUAGUUGGUGGGGUAAAAGGCCUACCAAGCCGACGAUCGGUAGCUGGUCUGAGAGGAUGAUCAGCCACACUGGGACUGAGACACGGCCCAGACUCCUACGGGAGGCAGCAGUGGGGAAUAUUGGACAAUGGCGAAAGCCUGAUCCAGCAAUGCCGCGUGAGUGAUGAAGGCCUAGGGUUGUAAAGCUCUUUUACCCGGGAUGAUAAUGACAGUACCGGGAGAAUAAGCCCCGGCUAACUCCGUGCCAGCAGCCGCGGUAAU
Molecule: ribosomal RNA, 457 nt
Filed under: uncultured bacterium
Lineage: Bacteria
Description: bacterial SSU rRNA
Rfam family: Bacterial small subunit ribosomal RNA
Source: RNAcentral